AGAGAGAGCCAAGUGGAAAAACAAAAAAAGAAACAUUAUUUAAAUUCUUAUUUUAUCUUUAUUUUGUUUGAUUUUUUUAUCAUCGGGUGUUGAAAGAGUCUCCGUCAACCUCCUUCACGAUCGUGCUCGCAGGAGGAGGAAUUCCGAUCGUAUCUUGGGGUGUUAUUUCUGGUUAAACCCGCACGUAAGGAUGGGAAUACGCCUUAGGGUAGUGCUUCGCACGCUUCCGGAUCAAUUAAAUAUUUAUUUGGAUUUAGCGAUCAUCGGUAAGUUGAUUUAUUUAUUUUCAUAAUAAAAAUUAGUUAGAACCUUAAUCACAAACAGAUUUCUGUGCGGUAUUUGUUAUAACAAUCUAAGGCGUAUAUUCCGAUUUGAUUAUGAUUGAAAUCUAACGAGUACUAAUCCGUAUUAAAUUAAUUUUAUAUGUAUAUAAUUUGUUUGUUAAUUUGUUUGUUAACUUGUUUGUAUAAUUGGCAUUCAAAUAAAAAAUUUUUGGAGAUUAGCACUUUAACAUGUAAUUGUAUAUUAUUUAAUUUACCAUUGAAAUUAUAAUUUAUUUGGUGAUUAAAAAAAAAAAAAAGCUUUGCUACACAAAAUUAAUUUUAAACAAUUUUGCUACAGUAAAAUACUUUUUAGUGUUGGAUUUCUUUGCGUACGUGUGUGUGUAUAUAUAUAUACUAUUUUCUGGUUUUUAAUUAAAAAAAAAAAAAAACACUGUAGCUUUUCUUAACAGAUUUUGCAUGUUAUAAAAAAAAAUGCUACAGUAAAAUUAAUUUUACUGUGUUUGGUUUUUUGAGUUGUUGCUACAGUAAAAACUCUUUGGUGAAAAAAAAAAUUGUUUUCAGUGGGAUUCGAAUCCGCAACUGGUUUGCUAAACUUCUUAUAGCCACCGGCUCAAACCAGCAAACCAAAUUUUAAUCAUUUUUAUUUUUGUUUCAGUAUUGUUUAUAUACUCUGUUUGUAACAUCAAAUAAUAGUAUGAUUCUAUAUAUUUUGCUCGAAAUUAUCUUUUAAAAUUGUUUGGGCAUCUAUUUGUUGUUAAACAGAACCCUACUGGACACAUGAUUAAUAUCAUGAUCUUAAGUUUUAAUGUAUCUUAGAACUUGUGAGGGGAAACUCUUUUAUCUAUUGAUAAAUUUUGAUAUUAUGAUUGCUCUCGUAUUUUAUCUGUUUUACUAUUAAUGUUCAUCUUGAAAAAUAAUUUAGUAAAUUCUAAAGUUGGCAAAUAAAUUAUAUUGACAUAAAUUUAUUAGAUAGUUAUUUUUCAUAAUGUUAGUUAUUUGAGUUUUAUCAGAUCUGAUCAGAAUCUUGCAGAUUGUUUGACGAAAUGCCUGAAUAGGACUAAGGUCCUCGAGUCAUCGAGGGAGAUGGGACUUUGCCCAUAAAGGGCCUUCCUGCAGCGGGAACCCAAUCUUUAUGAUAGGGGAUCCCUUGAAGAAGGUUCAAUGUGGUAAAAACAAGCUAGUAGAUUGGCCAAAGAGCACUUUCUACAGUUUAUUUAAAGGAGUUUUAGCUCCAAUCCCAUCCCUAUGGUGAGUAGUGCUCUGUGUAGCGGUUGAGGUUGAGCUUAUAGCUCUUAAUGGGAUCCGAGGCGAUAAUUUUCGCGAGAUGUGACUCUACACACAUCCCUGGAGAAAACCGCCUAUAUAAGAGUAUCCGUAUGUAGGCGCGGCUAUGUGAAUGGGCUAUCCAUAGAAACUCUUAUGAAAAAUCAAGGUACUGUGCAUGGCCAUUAACGCACAGACCCGCGACGAAGAAUUCUAUACUGUGUGUGUAAUAGUUGAAGUCAGGGUCAAAGAAACGUAGUUCAAGAUCUGGUUCACGCCGAUUCCUUAUGAUGAAAACUAUUUACACUAAGUGGGGUUAAGUCUCUUAAAGACACCUCGCCUAUUGCAUAGUAUAAAUACCCGAUGAUUUAUUUAUUUGUUUGUUUAAUUCUUAUUUUGUAAUUUUGAAUUUUGUGGAAAAUUGUUGGUGAAAAAUUCAAAAUCUCUAAAUAUUAUUUAAUUUUAUAAUUAUUCUCAUUUAUUGUCUUUUAUUAUGUUAAUUAAUUUGAUGAAUUAAUGUAAUUAAUUUCAUGCCUUUAUGCCAUAUAAAGGCAUGAACGAUGGAAACGUUGGAAAAGUUUCCAACGUACCAUUUUCUCUCCACAAUAUAUAUACAUUGGAUUGCAUUGUUUAUCUAGGACAUAUAAAUGACUGAGAGAGAGCCAAGUGGAAAAAAAAAGAAGAAACAUUAUUUAAAUUCUUAUUUUAUCUUUAUUUUGUUUGAUUUUUUUAUCAUCGGGUGUUGAAAGAGUCUCCGUCAACCUCCUUCACGAUCGUGCUGGUAGGAGGAGGAAUUCCGGUCAUACCUUGGGGUGGUAUUUCCGAUUAAUCCCGCACGUAAGGACAGGAAUACGCCAUAAGGCAGUGCCUCGCACGCUUCCGGAUCAAUUAAGUAUUUAUUUGGAUUUAGCGAUCAUCGGUAAGUUGAUUUAUUUAUUUUCAUAAUAAGAUUUAGUUAGAUUUAAAUCACAAUCAGAUUUUAUGUGCGGCCAUUGUUCCAACAGUUUAAAGGCUAUAGAUAGUGCUUUUAGAUUUUUUUUAAAA
This 2591-nucleotide long non-coding RNA is filed under the name Ananas comosus (pineapple). RNAcentral describes it as "long non-coding RNA (ACOM_LNC008036)". Lineage: Eukaryota; Viridiplantae; Streptophyta; Magnoliopsida; Poales; Bromeliaceae. The record is from RNAcentral.